AGGCAGCAGUGGGGAAUAUUGGACAAUGGGCGAAAGCCUGAUCCAGCCAUGCCGCGUGUGUGAAGAAGGCCUUUUGGUUGUAAAGCACUUUAAGCGAGGAGGAGGCUACUUAGAUUAAUACUCUAGGAUAGUGGACGUUACUCGCAGAAUAAGCACCGGCUAACUCCGUGCCAGCAGCCGCGGUAAUACAGAGGGUGCGAGCGUUAAUCGGAUUUACUGGGCGUAAAGCGUGCGUAGGCGGCUUCUUAAGUCGGAUGUGAAAUCCCUGAGCUUAACUUAGGAAUUGCAUUCGAUACUGGGAAGCUAGAGUAUGGGAGAGGAUGGUAGAAUUCCAGGUGUAGCGGUGAGAUGCGUAGAGAUCUGGAGGAAUACCGAUGGCGAAGGCAGCCAUCUGGCCUAAUACUGACGCUGAGGUACGAAAGCAUGGGGAGCAAACAGGAUUAGAUACCCUGGUAGUCCAUGCCGUAAACGAUGUCUACUAGCCGUUGGGGCCUUUGAGGCUUUAGUGGCGCAGCUAACGCGAUAAGUAGACCGCCUGGGGAGUACGGUCGCAAGACUAAAACUCAAAUGAAUUGACGG
RNAcentral lists this ribosomal RNA (579 nucleotides) under uncultured Gammaproteobacteria bacterium. RNAcentral describes it as "bacterial SSU rRNA". It matches the Rfam family "Bacterial small subunit ribosomal RNA", at positions 346 to 916 of the family's 1533-position model. The record is from RNAcentral. Lineage: Bacteria; Pseudomonadati; Pseudomonadota; Gammaproteobacteria.